RNAcentral lists this long non-coding RNA (239 nucleotides) under Nicotiana benthamiana. RNAcentral describes it as "long non-coding RNA (NBEN_LNC007567)". Lineage: Eukaryota; Viridiplantae; Streptophyta; Magnoliopsida; Solanales; Solanaceae. The record is from RNAcentral.
UUGGACAAGAAAUGAAUUCCCCUUGUGUAUGCGCGCCUCAAAAAGGUAUAGUACUCGAUUCCAUUCCAUGCAUCGGGGGAAAUCGAAAAAGCCAGCGUUUCUUGGAAUACCGAGUAUAAUGCUACCAAUAAUUGUACUAAUCCAACCGCAUAUGUCUUUCUCCUACCAAAAGUAAUGAAAAAACAAAUAAGGAUUUCCCCUUUGCUUUGACAAUGGAAUUCUGCCCCCGGUCCCCUUCA